CUGCUGCCUCCCGUAGGAGUCUGGACCGUGUCUCAGUUCCAGUGUGGGGGGCCUUCCUCUCAGAACCCCUACGCAUCGUCGCCACGGUGGGCCGUUACCCCGCCGUCAAGCUAAUGCGCCGCAUGCCCAGCCGCCACCGGAUUCCUCCUUUCGCCCGGACCGGAUGCCCGGUCCGGGCGGCAUGGGGUAUUAGGCCGGGUUUCCCCGGGUUAUCCCCCUGUGGCGGGCAGGUUCCAUACGUGUUACUCACCCGCGCGCCGGUCGCCGGCAGGUGCAGGCAA
RNAcentral lists this ribosomal RNA (281 nucleotides) under uncultured bacterium. RNAcentral describes it as "partial 16S ribosomal RNA". The record is from RNAcentral.